UGCUGAAACUGAUCGGAAGCGGAUGGUGUACGAUCCUUAUAUGGAAACGGGCUAAAGGGACAGCACUCUCAUCAAGAGGGUUUCCCUGACUCGGAUCCUUUUGUAAACAAACGCCAUAAAGUUGAAGUAACUCAAUCAGUUUAGAGCCAAGUCAUGCCAGACACCGAUGCCCAGAAAGUACAGGUCCCCAGUCCAUCAUGGUGUACAGUCACUGUCCAAUGUACACCAGAAGCAUGGCACACCAUGCUUCACAGUAUGAGGUCCCACAAUGAUUAUAUGGAAGAGUAUAAAUGCGACGAAACCCUUUCCAUUUUCAUAUGAAAUCUCUGUAAAAAACAGAGUCGAUGAUGGUACGAUUCUGACUAAAUCAUGAGCACGGGUUAAUGAAUCGCUAUCAAAUAGUGAUAAUACCAGGUGUUCGCGAAAGGUGAGAGUAUCCUGCCCCACCGGUGGCAGAAGAAAUCCCUGGUGUUGAGAUCCUUUUUCAAUGUGUGCAAAUUGUGUUUAUUUUCAUGCAGAGUUACAAGUCAUAAAAUAUUAGAAUGUCUUGUGAGGAAAUGUGCUUCAGACAACAAGAGAGCUGUACUUUUGAAAGAGUCAACCAGUGCACUAACAAGUUGCCACUGAGCAUUUAGCCAGUGCUUGUGAUAUUUUCUUCAGUCUUUUCCCCCGCCUUUGCCCUUGCCCCAAACUACCUCAUCCAGCAUCAGCCACCCUGUUUUACAGAAACUUAUCAAAUGAAACAGCAAAAGCUGAUUGUUGUCAGAGACCAUAAAACAAGAUUGCAAUGAAAAAAGUUUAUUUUAAUGAGCAUAGAGGAAAACAUUACAUACAUCAGAUGGAAAUCUUUCACGAAUCACCUCGACAACACAAGAUGGAAUAACUUUUCUCUGAUUCUUCAACUAUUUCUGCAAAUCCCCAAAGUAAACCUCUUGUUUAUGAGGUGUAGAUAGAUUCUGAAAUGAAAAAGUGUCUUUUAUUAGUCAAGCUAUACACAACAUUACAAAAAAUAUCAUAACAUUUACGUAUAUAUUUUUGUCAUUCAAUCUGGAGGGAUGCCUAUAUAAGAAGUAACUUGUAUUGAUGAUAUAUGCAUAAUUUUUAUUACAUGUUAAUAAUUCAAUAAAUACCAAAACAGUUUAUAGUUCUAUCAUGUUGACAUGAUGUGUUUAUUACUAUAAGUUUGAAUACUUCUUGAAAUAUUGUGGGCAUGUUUCAAUAUCACUGAUGUAAUUUAAUAACCUUACAAGUUACAUAUGUUUUCACAACUUGCUGGCAAAUAAACAUUUAUGGUACUGUAGAUUUAUUUUACUUGUCAGAUUUGUUUGUUGUGCAUCAUAGAUCUUAAAAUGCAUAAUAAAAUAAAUUGAUGAAAAUAAAUCAUAUUAUAUGUUUUCUAAACUAUAUUUCAAGUGUUAAUAUAAAAAAGGGUGGUGGGGUAGCCUUGUGGUGAAAGCGUUCAAUCGUCACCCUGAAGACCCAAGUUCGAUUCCCCACAUGGGCACAACAUGUAAAGCCCAUUUCUGGUGUCCCCCAGUUGUGAUAUUGCUGGAAUAUUGCUAAAAGCGGCGUAAAACCCUACUCGCUCACUGAUAUAAAAAAAUGAUUGCAUAUUUCAUUUGCAUUUUAGGGGGUGGUUGUUACAGACGUUUUGCUCAAAAGGUCAGGUCGGGAGGUCCAAAUUUCCAAACAAAGAUUUACAAUUUCAAAUAUUUUUCACUAAUAUUCAACAAGUUUUACUUAUAGUUUCUGAGAUAAUUUAUAUGUAUUGAUUGUGACAGUAAAUGAGCUUUUUGUAAACAUUUUACAUAUAUUUGGUCCACUCAGUUAAACAACCCACUGUUUUUUAUAAUUAAUUAUAUAUUAGAUAUUUCUUCUUUUUUAUAGUUUCUAAACGUUUUUAAAAAAUCUGGCCUCAUAAUAGAUGAUAAAUAGUUUCCCUGCAAAGUUGCAAUGCAUUUUCUAUGAAUGGCUGUCAGAACAAACCAAUAACCAAUUAUCUAUA
This 2005-nucleotide long non-coding RNA is filed under the name Haliotis rufescens (red abalone). RNAcentral describes it as "uncharacterized LOC125381652". Lineage: Eukaryota; Metazoa; Mollusca; Gastropoda; Lepetellida; Haliotidae. The record is from RNAcentral.